RNAcentral lists this microRNA precursor (62 nucleotides) under Euprymna scolopes. Lineage: Eukaryota; Metazoa; Mollusca; Cephalopoda; Sepiida; Sepiolidae. The record is from RNAcentral.
UGGUUGAAUUUGCUUCUGGUCCAUGUAGACACCGCUUCAUGACUAGAUCAAACUCAUCCACC